UAACCUGCCUCUUAGCGGGGGAUAACUAUUGGAAACGAUAGCUAAUACCGCAUAAAAGUCGACAUUGCAUGAUGUUGACUUGAAGGGUGCAAUUGCAUCACUAAGAGAUGGACCUGCGUUGUAUUAGCUAGUUGGUGAGGUAACGGCUCACCAAGGCAACGAUACAUAGCCGACCUGAGAGGGUGAUCGGCCACACUGGGACUGAGACACGGCCCAG
This 217-nucleotide ribosomal RNA is filed under the name uncultured bacterium. RNAcentral describes it as "partial 16S ribosomal RNA". It matches the Rfam family "Bacterial small subunit ribosomal RNA", at positions 122 to 334 of the family's 1533-position model. The record is from RNAcentral.